ACUACGGGAGGCAGCAGUGAGGAAUAUUGGUCAAUGGACGAGAGUCUGAACCAGCCAAGUAGCGUGAAGGAUGACUGCCCUACGGGUUGUAAACUUCUUUUAUAAAGGAAUAAAACGAGGCACGUGUGCCUUUUUGCAUGUACUUUAUGAAUAAGGAUCGGCUAACUCCGUGCCAGCAGCCGCGGUAAUACGGAGGAUCCGAGCGUAAUCCGGAUUUAUUGGGGUGAAAGGGUGCGUAGAUGGGUUGUUAAGUCAGUUGUGAAAGUUUGCGGCUCAAGCGUAAAAUUGCAAUUGAUACUGGCAGUCUUGAGUACAGUUGAGGUAGGCGGAAUUCGUGGUGUAGCGGUGAAAUGCUUAGAUAUCACGAAGAACCCCGAUUGCGAAGGCAGCUUACUAAACUGUGACUGACAUUGAUGCUCGAAAGUGUGGGUACCAAACAGGAUUAGAUACCCGGGUAGUC
RNAcentral lists this ribosomal RNA (460 nucleotides) under uncultured bacterium. Its description in RNAcentral is "partial 16S ribosomal RNA". It matches the Rfam family "Bacterial small subunit ribosomal RNA", at positions 338 to 795 of the family's 1533-position model. The record is from RNAcentral.